This 462-nucleotide ribosomal RNA is filed under the name uncultured bacterium. RNAcentral describes it as "partial 16S ribosomal RNA". It matches the Rfam family "Bacterial small subunit ribosomal RNA", at positions 28 to 507 of the family's 1533-position model. The record is from RNAcentral.
GACGAACGCUGGCGGCGUGCUUAACACAUGCAAGUCGAACGGAAAGGCCCUUCGGGGUACUCGAGUGGCGAACGGGUGAGUAACACGUGGGUGAUCUGCCCUGCACUUUGGGAUAAGCCUGGGAAACUGGGUCUAAUACCGAAUAGGACCACGCGCUUCAUGGUGUGUGGUGGAAAGCUUUUGCGGUGUGGGAUGGGCCCGCGGCCUAUCAGCUUGUUGGUGGGGUAAUGGCCUACCAAGGCGACGACGGGUAGCCGGCCUGAGAGGGUGACCGGCCACCCUGGGACUGAGAGACGGACCAGACUGCUACGGGAGGCAGCAGUGGGGAAUAUUGCACAAUGGGCGCAAGCCUGAUGCAGCGACGCCGCGUGAGGGAUGACGGCCUUCGGGUUGUAAACCUCUUUCAAUAGGGACGAAGCGCAAGUGACGGUACCUAUAGAAGAAGCACCGGCCAACUACGUG